RNAcentral lists this ribosomal RNA (315 nucleotides) under uncultured Paludibacter sp. RNAcentral's name for it is "bacterial SSU rRNA". It matches the Rfam family "Bacterial small subunit ribosomal RNA", at positions 28 to 339 of the family's 1533-position model. Lineage: Bacteria; Pseudomonadati; Bacteroidota; Bacteroidia; Bacteroidales; Paludibacteraceae. The record is from RNAcentral.
GAUGAACGCUAGCGACAGGCCUAACACAUGCAAGUCGAGGGGCAGCGCGUUGGUAGCAAUACCGAUGGCGGCGACCGGCGCACGGGUGCGUAACAGGUGUGCAAUCUGUCCAUAGUCGGGGGAUAGCCCGGUGAAAACCGAAUUAAUACUCCAUGUGAGUGAGAGUCGCAUGACUUUCAUUUGAAACGUAAGGACUAUGGGUGAGCACGCUUCUGAUUAGAUAGUUGGUGGGGUAACGGCUCACCAAGUCGACGAUCAGUAGGGGUUCUGAGAGGAAGGUCCCCCACAUUGGAACUGAGACACGGUCCAAACUCC